RNAcentral lists this ribosomal RNA (253 nucleotides) under uncultured bacterium. RNAcentral describes it as "partial 16S ribosomal RNA". It matches the Rfam family "Bacterial small subunit ribosomal RNA", at positions 524 to 776 of the family's 1533-position model. The record is from RNAcentral.
UACGUAGGGCGCAAGCGUUGUCCGGAAUUAUUGGGCGUAAAGAGCUCGUAGGCGGCUUGUCACGUCGGGUGUGAAAGCCCGGGGCUUAACCCCGGGUCUGCAUUCGAUACGGGCUAGCUAGAGUGUGGUAGGGGAGAUCGGAAUUCCUGGUGUAGCGGUGAAAUGCGCAGAUAUCAGGAGGAACACCGGUGGCGAAGGCGGUGGUCUGGGCCGGCACUGACGCUGAGGAGCGAAAGCGUGGGGAGCGAACAGG